UACGAACCGUACGAACGUUAUUCGGAAUCACUGGGCUUAAAGGGUGCGUAGGUGGCGAGGUAAGUUGGAUGUGAAAUCCCGGGGCUCAACCCCGGAACUGCAUUCAAUACUGCCUUGCUAGAGUACUGGAGAGGAGAUUGGAAUUUACGGUGUAGCAGUGAAAUGCGUAGAUAUCGUAAGGAAGACCAGUGGCGAAGGCGGAUCUCUGGACAGUUACUGACACUGAGGCACGAAGGCCAGGGGAGCAAACGGG
RNAcentral lists this ribosomal RNA (253 nucleotides) under uncultured bacterium. RNAcentral describes it as "partial 16S ribosomal RNA". It matches the Rfam family "Bacterial small subunit ribosomal RNA", at positions 524 to 776 of the family's 1533-position model. The record is from RNAcentral.